GGGCACCAAAAGGGAGUGUUGAAAAUACAAAGCUGAUCAUGUCAUCAUUCACAUGAGUAACAGCUCUCAAAGGAUCUCCAAGGAUAAACACAGAAGACUCAACCUUUAUCCAGAUCUCUUUGUGAUAUGGUCCCUGUGAAGCCCUCCAGACUCUUCUCUACAUACUUCCCAAUGUGCCCGUGAGCCUUGGCCACCCCAUGGACUUGAGAUUCCUUCAGCAAGCUAACAUCUUCAUAGCCUCCAUGUCAUCACCCAUGAGUACAUAUAGCAGGCACUCAAUAACUGUGGAAUAAUUCACAUGAUCCUCUCAUGUAGAAUUUCCAAUGAUUUGAAGGAAUUCCAUUUGUGAUAUGAGCUCCAUUUUAGUAAGCUGACUUUUCCACAAGUGUGUAUUGUGUGCCUGCUGUAUGCAGGCCCAUUUUCCUACUGAGCCCCAUUUGUUGCAAACUGGAGCUGAAUCACUGUGACAGGUUUAGCAGUCUCUCACGUCAUCAGCUGCCCUGGCAGGGCCUUCCUUCAAAUCCCGAUUCCAUCUCAGCACAAGAUGAAGUCACACGUUCUAAUGCUCAUGAGCAUGGCUCCUUGAUGCCCUUCCAUAUUCUGAAGCUAAUCUAAAGGCUCCAGUUGGUUCUAGGUUUCUGGAAUGUACAACAAUUACAUGACUUCGUCUGGAGAAUUUCACCUGCCAUAUUGGAAGGAAGGAUUCCCCCAAUUUAAUCGCAUUCUAAGAUGGACCAAGCAGAAUACUCCUCUAUGGAAGGGAAGAGGAACCACCGGCACUGACCCACGAAUUGGAAGAUGCUGCCACCUAGAGGAUGUGAGGGAAAAUGAAUCCUCCCCUAGAGUUUCACUUUUUUUGUUGUUUUUGUUGUUGUUGUUGUUGUUGUUGUUGUGAGAUGGAAUCUCGCUGUAUUGCCCAGGCUGGAGUGAGUGCAGUGGCAUGAUCUCGGCUCACUGCAACCUCUGCCUCCCUGGUUCAAGCAAACCUGCCUCAGCCUCUCAAGUAGCUGGGAUAAAAGAGGCCCGCCACCCCUCCCCCUGCUAAUUUUGCAUUUUU
Long non-coding RNA from Callithrix jacchus (white-tufted-ear marmoset), 1057 nucleotides. RefSeq lists it as uncharacterized. The record is from RefSeq and is a predicted model, not a curated record. NCBI's taxonomy places the organism in Eukaryota, Metazoa, Chordata, Mammalia, Primates, Cebidae.